Molecule: ribosomal RNA, 254 nt
Filed under: uncultured bacterium
Lineage: Bacteria
Description: partial 16S ribosomal RNA
Rfam family: Bacterial small subunit ribosomal RNA
Source: RNAcentral
UACGAAGGGGGGCUAGCGUUGUUCGGAAUCACUGGGCGUAAAGCGCGCGUAGGCGGGUCGUUAAGUCGGGGGUGAAAUCCCGAGGCUCAACCUCGGAACUGCCUUCGAUACUGACGACCUUGAGUCCGGGAGAGGUGAGUGGAACUCCUAGUGUAGAGGUGAAAUUCGUAGAUAUUAGGAAGAACACCAGUGGCGAAGGCGGCUCACUGGCCCGGUACUGACGCUGAUGUGCGAAAGCGUGGGGAGCAAACAGG